RNAcentral lists this long non-coding RNA (4093 nucleotides) under Triticum aestivum (bread wheat). RNAcentral's name for it is "long non-coding RNA (TAES_LNC007642)". The record is from RNAcentral. Lineage: Eukaryota; Viridiplantae; Streptophyta; Magnoliopsida; Poales; Poaceae.
ACCCGGUGGUGCUCGGCCGCUCUCCGCCAUCGGUGGCGAGCCCUGGCAACCGGAUCCGGGACCCUUCCAGCGUCGGAGCUCCCCACGGCCCCGUUCGGUCCCGGCAGUUCGUUCUCGAGCCAUGCGCCGGAUCCAUUGAUCCCGGCAGUUCCUUCCUCGAGCCACAAGUCGGAUCAGACCAGCGAGAAGGAGCUAGCCACUGGAUCCACUGAUCUCAGGGGGCGUCCACGCGCCUGCGUGCAGUUUAGUUCCACCGGUGAUGUAGUCUGUCGACAUGCCCCCGUGCACAAUCGUUGCUGCUGCAUCUCGGCAGCUCGCCCCCGUGCAUGGUCGCUGCCGCCGUGCAGUUCGGCCAAAGCUGCAGCUCUCUCUCCUCACCUUAUGCAGUUCGCGGUGAACGACAAAGACGAUGGCAACGAGGUAAUGCCAUCGACACCCACACCCACCAUCGUUGCUAAAGUUGUUGAUUUGUUAUGAACUUCUGCUACUUUGAGCACUGACGCGAAUGCCUGAAACUUUCUAUGUGUAGAGCGACGAGUGAAGGGGCACACCGAGCAGGAAUCAGGGAGAGGGGGUUUCUGGAAUGUGGCUGUUGUUGCUCGUUUCUAAUGCCACCGGUCGUUGAUGGAUGUUCUGUACCUCCCUCUCUUUCAGGCUGCUGUCAUCACCACUCUCAAAUGAAAAAAGUUAUGGUUCGCUGUUAGCUGAUACUGUUUUUUGUUUUGUUCUUUUGUUUAGAAAAGAAUCAAGUGGACUUCAGUUAGCUAUUGCAGGAGAAGACAAAAAAUGCAAGAUUUAGUUUGUAAUUAUUGAAGAAAUCUGAUGUAGUUCGUUUGUGUGAUGACUUGUGAUUCGCUAUGUAAGAAGAAAAUGGAAAACCCACGUGGAAGCCCUUCUUUUGUAAAUAGAACUUCACUUGUGAUGAUUUUCUUUAGAAAAGAAGUUCAUUUGGAAUUGUGUUGCGAUUCAUUUCCCUCGACCGUGAGGUUCGCUUAAUUAUUCACACGUGCACAGCUCGCCAAUGUGGAAACCCGAAAUGAAAAAUGGUAGAGAAACAGCAAAAAAAAUAAUGUCGUCCACUUGACCAUUUGAUGAAGUGCGAUUUUUUCAAAUGAAGCAGUGCGGUCGAUUGUGUGCAAAGAAAAAAAAAUGUGUGUACACCUCUUAGAAGACAUUGCAGUGCGGUUUUCCCUCGAAUGCAAUCACUUUGUCGAUGAAAAAAAAUACGAAAAAAGGCAAUAAAAAGUCAUGAGGUUCACUUUAAGUUUACGUCCGACAGAAGGGAAUAAUGAAGUUUGCUUGACCGUCUCAUGCAGUGCAUUUUUCAGACUGAAGCAGUGUGUUCUAUCGUUCAUAAAAAAUGACAACAAAAAUCUCACAAAAGCUCAUCUGAGAAAAUUUACGCCCGACAAGAAAAUCAUGAAGUUCGCUUGACUCUUUGAUGUAGUGCGCUUUUCCCUCUAAAAGCAGUGCAGUUUUCUUCCUCGUCUUCAAAAAUUUACGUCCCACCAAAAGGAAACCAUGCAGUUCUCUUGCCCGUCUAAUGUAGUGCGGCAUUUCGUCCGAUGAAAUGCGGUUUUCAGUCAGAUGAAGUACGCACGUCGAUUUGAGUGUCGCGAAAAACAGAGUGUCCGCAUUUCGGUAAAUUUAAAACUGCUCUUAAACUGUAAAGAAUUAGAGAGAGUGUUCUACAUGAAAAAUUUGCGCCUCGUCGAUACCUUUCCAAUGGUGUAUCGUUUGAAUCAUUCCGAGCAGCACUUUGUAAAAAUUUAACAAAAAACAGUAACUGCCACUCGUCGUCCGUCACACGAUUUUCAAAAUUAACUUAAAACCGUAAGGAAUCUAAAAAACAUUGCAACAUAUGAAAGUUGUGCCUCGUCCAUAGAUUUUCAAAAAUAUAUUACACGCCUCGUUUCGACAAAGGGUUAAAAAAUUGGAGCGAAAACAGUACCGCAAAUUUGAAAAAAUUUGAAAAACAGAAUUCCACGAUUUAGUAAAUUUUGAAACUCCUCUUAAACCGUAAGGAAUUAGAGAACAAUUUAUAUAUGAAAAAGAUGCGCCUCGACGAUAUCUAUCCAAUGGAAUAUCACUUGCUUCAUUCCGAUAAGCAGUUUAGAAGAAAUCUCGAAAAAAUGUUCGCUGUUAUUCGUCAUGAGCCGCACCAUUUUCAAAACUGCUCUUAAACCGUGUGAAGUCUCGAAAAGUGUUCAACAUGUCGAAGUUGCGCCUAAUCCAUAGCUUUUCAACAGUAUAUUACACGCCUCAUUCCGAUAAACGGUUAAAAAAUUAGAGCGGAAACAGUACCGAAAAAAUAACGCGUGCAGUUUUUUCCGACGAGAAGUUCACUCGUGUGAGUACUGCAGCACACUUGGUUCAAAGAAUGACGUGCACUUGCGUUCAACGUGCACUGCAGAAGUGGUGUGCGGAAUAGUUAUUCUGCUAAUAUUAGCAGAAUAGACUGCGUAUGUGUGUGUGUGUGUAUAUAUAUAGGGUGGGUCUAUUAUGAUAACACCCCUUAAGACCUUAUUCUGCACACCAAAACGCUUAUUCUGCUAACAGUUUGGCACUGCAAAAACACCCGAACCGAACCUCUUACGCAAUAAAAAAGAAGGAACCACCCAUAACCCACCCCCGCACUACUCCCCUAGUCAACGGGGCACUCCCACCUCCCGAUCCAGCCACCACGCAGUGCCCCGCCCCGGCAACCAACCACCCCACGCCGCCCGCCGCCGGCCACCACCCAGCGCCACCCGCUGCCCGCCCACUCCCUCGCCUCCCCACCUUCUUCUUCGCCACUGGCAGCCGUGCUGGUCGCCGUGCCCACCCCCUACUACUACCUUCUUCCCCCGCGAGCACACCCCUUGCCAGAUCCGACCUUCCCUAGCCACUGGUGCCGCUCCACCCCUCCCGAGGCUGCUGCCAGCCGCGCCAUCCCAGGCCCCUGCCGCGUCGCUGCUCUACAAGUCGCCGCCGCGCCACCACUCCCGAGGCCCCCACCAACAAGGCCUCGUGCGCCUCCUACCGUUCCCCCUGCAAGCUCCGUCCGACCCGGUGGUGCUCGGCCGCUCUCCGCCAUCGGUGGCAAGCCCUGGCAACCGGAUCCGGGACCCUUCCAGCGUCGGAGCUCCCCACGGCCCUGUUCAAUCCCGGCAGUUCGUUCUCGAGCCAUGCACCGGAUCCAUUGAUCUCGGCAGUUCCUUCCUCGAGCCACAAGUCGGAUCAGACCAGCGAGAAGGAGCUAGCCACUGGAUCCACUGAUCUCAGGGGGCGUCCACUCGCCUGCGUGCAGUUUAGUACCACCGGUGAUGUAGUCUGUUGACACGCCCCCGUGCACAAUCUUUGCUGCUGCAUCUCGGCAGCUCGCCCCCGUGCAUGGUCGCUGCCGCUGUGCAGUUCGGCCAGAGCUGCAGCUCUCUCUCCUCACCUCAUGCAGUUCGCGGUGAACGACAAAGACGAUGGUAGCGAGGUAAUGCCAUCGACACCCACACCCACCAUCGUUGCUAAAGUUGUCGAUUUGUUAUGAACUUCUGCUACUUUGAACACUGAUGUGAAUGCCUGAAACUUUCUCUGUGUAGAGCGACGAGUGAAGGGGCACACCAAGCAGGUAUCAGGAAGAGGGGGUUUCUGGAAUGUGGUUGUUGCUGCUCGUUUCUAAUGCCACCGGUCGUUGAUGGAUGUUCUGUACCUCCCUCUCUUUCAGGCUGCUGUCAUCACCACUCUCAAACGAAAAAAGUUAUGAUUCGUUGUUAGCUGAUACUGUUUUUUGUUUUGUUCUUUUGUUUAGAAAAAAAUCAAGUGGACUUCAGUUAGCUAUUGCAGGAGAAGACAAAAAAAUGCAAGAUUUAGUUUGUAAUUAUUGAAGAAAUCUGAUGUAGUUCGUUUGUGUGAUGACUUGUGAUUCGCUAUGUAAGAAGAAAAUGGAAAACCCACGAGGAAGCCCUUCUUUUGUAAAGAGCACUUCACUUGUGAUGAUUUUGUUUAGAAAAGAAGUUCAUUUCGAAUUGUGUUGCGGUUCAUUUCCCUCGACCGUGCGGUUCGCUUAUUCACACGUGCACAGCUCGCCAAUGUGGAAACCCGAAAUGAAAAAUGGUAG